UACGUAGGGUGCAAGCGUUGUCCGGAAUCAUUGGGCGUAAAGAGCGCGUAGGCGGCCCGAUAAGUCCGCUGUGAAAGUCAAGGGCUCAACCCUUGAAUGCCGGUGGAUACUGUCGGGCUAGAGUCCGGAAGAGGCGAGUGGAAUUCCUGGUGUAGCGGUGAAAUGCGCAGAUAUCAGGAGGAACACCAAUGGCGAAGGCAGCUCGCUGGGACGGUACUGACGCUGAGGCGCGAAAGCCAGGGGAGCAAACGGG
RNAcentral lists this ribosomal RNA (253 nucleotides) under uncultured bacterium. RNAcentral's name for it is "partial 16S ribosomal RNA". It matches the Rfam family "Bacterial small subunit ribosomal RNA", at positions 524 to 776 of the family's 1533-position model. The record is from RNAcentral.